RNAcentral lists this ribosomal RNA (423 nucleotides) under uncultured bacterium. RNAcentral's name for it is "bacterial SSU rRNA". It matches the Rfam family "Bacterial small subunit ribosomal RNA", at positions 355 to 770 of the family's 1533-position model. The record is from RNAcentral.
UGGGGAAUUUUGGACAAUGGGGGCAACCCUGAUCCAGCCAUCCCGCGUGUGCGAUGAAGGCCUUCGGGUUGUAAAGCACUUUUGGCAGGGAAGAAACAGCCUGGGCUAAUAUCCCGGGCGACUGACGGUACCUGCAGAAUAAGCACCGGCUAACUACGUGCCAGCAGCCGCGGUAAUACGUAGGGUGCAAGCGUUAAUCGGAAUUACUGGGCGUAAAGCGUGCGCAGGCGGUUCGGAAAGAAAGGUGUGAAACCCCAGGGCUUAACCUUGGAACUGGACUUUUAACUACCUGGCUAGAGUACGUCAGAGGGGGGUAGAAUUCCACGUGUAGCAGUGAAAUGCGUAGAGAUGUGGAGGAAUACCGAUGGCGAAGGCAGCCCCCUGGGAUGAUACUGACGCUCAUGCACGAAAGCGUGGGGAGCA